GGAAAACUGAGGAAUGACACAUAUUCUUCCCACAAUCUGCCUGCCAACAGACCUUGGAGAUAAAUAUAAAGGGUCAGGGACAAAUGUGGUUAAAGACAAAACCAUGAACUGGCCACAUCUAUGCAGAGUUUCAGUUCUGUCUCUGGGUGACCAGGACUCCAGGAUGUUGCUGAGACUUUCUCAUCACUUGACAAGAUCCUAGAGACAAAAUAAACAUGGUAUGCAUGAUGUACA
Molecule: long non-coding RNA, 234 nt
Filed under: Vulpes vulpes (red fox)
Lineage: Eukaryota; Metazoa; Chordata; Mammalia; Carnivora; Canidae
Description: lncRNA (ENSVVUG00000001244.1)
Source: RNAcentral